Brassica rapa (field mustard) is the source of this 142-nucleotide non-coding RNA. Lineage: Eukaryota; Viridiplantae; Streptophyta; Magnoliopsida; Brassicales; Brassicaceae. The record is from RefSeq and is marked provisional.
GUUCACAUUAAGAAUCUCUCAUCAAUUAUAUUAGUAUUUAAAUAGAAAGUUUCUCAAAAACUUAAGAGAGUUAUGCGAGGAUAGAUUUUUACUGAGAAUUUUCUAUCAAAAUAUUAAUAUAAUUGGUGAGAGAUUCAUGUGG